GUGACCGUGGUCGAGGACGACCUGCGCCGGGUGCGGCUGCCGCGCCGGCCGUUCGCGGUGGUCGCGAACCUGCCGUUCGCGGUCGGUACGGCCGCGC
RNAcentral lists this transfer RNA (97 nucleotides) under Actinocatenispora comari. Its description in RNAcentral is "tRNA-Gln". The record is from RNAcentral. Lineage: Bacteria; Bacillati; Actinomycetota; Actinomycetes; Micromonosporales; Micromonosporaceae.